CGCGAUUCGCCCUUCGGGGUGCCCAGGCGCGAAAACUUUACAAUGCUGGCAACAGCGAUAAGGGGACCUCGAGUGCCAGGAUACAAUCUUGGCUGUCGUGAUGCCUAAAAAGCAUUACAUAGCAAGGGCCGGGCAAGACCGGUGCCAGCCGCCGCGGUAACACCGGCGGCUCGAGUGGUAACCGCUAUUAUUGGGUCUAAAGGGUCUGUAGCCGGCCGGAUAAGUCUUUUGGGAAAUCCAGCUGCUCAACAGUUGGGCUUUCAGAAGAUACUGUUCGGCUCGAGGCCGGGAGAGGUGAGAGGUACUUCAGGGGUAGGGGUGAAAUCUUGUAAUCCUUGAAGGACCACCAGUGGCGAAGGCGUCUCACCAGAACGGUCCUGACGGCAAGGGACGAAAGCUAGGGGCACGAACCGGAUUAGAUACCCGGGUAGUCCUAGCCGUAAACGAUACUCGCUAGGUGUCAGCCACGGUGCGACCGUGGUUGGUGCCGUAGGGAAGCCGUGAAGCGAGCCACCUGGGAAGUACGGCCGCAAGGCUGAAACUUAAAGGAAUUGGCGGGGGAGCAC
This 566-nucleotide ribosomal RNA is filed under the name uncultured archaeon. Its description in RNAcentral is "bacterial SSU rRNA". It matches the Rfam family "Archaeal small subunit ribosomal RNA", at positions 312 to 879 of the family's 1478-position model. The record is from RNAcentral.